AGAGUUUGAUCCUGGCUCAGGAUGAACGCUGGCGGUAUGCCUUAAGCAUGCAAGUCGAACGAUCUUGUCCUUUGGACAAGAAUUUUCAAAUUAUCCAAUAAUCCAAUAAAUACCAAUUAUCCAAUAAGAGCAAAAUUCUUAUUUGAUUAUUUGAGAAUUGGAUUAUUUGUUGAUUGGAAAUUCUCGCCCAGAGGGCGAGGUAGUGGCAGACGGGUGAGUAAUAGUAAGGAACGUACCCCAAGGUCAAGUAUAGCCUUCCGAAAGGAGGGGUAAUACUGGAUAGUUCCCGAUUUAAUCGGGUAAAGCACGUAACUGUGCGCCAUGGGAGCGGCCUUAUUCCUAUCAGCUUGUUGGUAGGGUAAAAGCCUACCAAGGCGAUGACGGGUAGGGGGCGUGAGAGCGUGACCCCCCACAAUGGCACUGAGACACGGGCCAUACACCUACGGGUGGCAGCAACUGGGAAUAGUUGUCAAUGGACGAAAGUCUGAACACGCGAUACCGCGUGAGGGAUGAAGUAUCUCGGUAUGUAAACCUCUUUUGCCAGAUCAUCGAGAUUUGGCGAAUAAGCACCUACAAACUACGUGCCAGCAGUCGCGGUAAUACGUAGGGUGCAAGCGUUAUCCGGAUUUACUGGGCGUAAAGUGUCGCGUAGGCGACUUCUUGUGUCACAUCUUAAAGAGUAAGGCUUAACCUUGCCGUUGGAUGUGAGACUAAGAAGAUUUGAAGAAGAGAGGAGUACCUGGAACUGACGGUGGAGUAGUGAAAUGCGUUGAUAUCGUCAGGAACACCAAAAGCGAAGGCAAGGUACCGGCUCUUUCUUGACGCUGAGGCACGAAAGCUAGGGGAGCGAAGCAGAUUAGAGACCUGCGUAGUCCUAGCCCUAAACGCAUGGAUGCUAGAUACCCCGUCGCAAAACCUAUGGGUUUUGCGACGAAAUCAAAAAUCAAAAUGUCCUGCAGAGCAGGAUCUGGCUUUGCCAGACAAAAUUCAAAAAUAUACAAGGUAUCCCUUCGGGACUAUUUAUAAAUUUGUCCUUGUUAAAUUUUGAUCUUUGACUUUUGAAUUUUAGAUUUCGCAAAAACGUAGUUUUUGCGAUGGGGUGUCGCAAGCUAACGCGUUAAGCAUCCCGCCUGGGGAGUACGAACGCAAGUUUAAAACUCAAAGGAAUUGACGGGGACCCGCACAACCAGUGGAGCAUGUGGUUCAAUUCGAGACGAAGCGAAAGACCUCACCAGGGUUCGACAUGUAACUGCAUGUCUAAGAAAUUAGGCAGCCUUCGAGGGUGUUACAAAGCUGCUGCAUGGCUGUCGUCAGCUCGUGCCGUGGGGUGUUGGCUUAAGUGCCAGAACGAGCGCAACCCCCAUCCAAUGUUAAAUUAUCAUUGGAGACCGCCCGCUUCUUUUUGAACUCACGAGUUCAAAAAGAGUUGCUUAGUUAUUAGUUAAUUAGUUACUUAGUAAUUUUCUAAGUAACUAAGCAUCUAAUCAACUAUGUAACUCAAAUUCGUAGAGUUUGAAAAGAAGCGGGAGGAAGGAGGGGACGACGUCAAGUCAGCACGGCGCUUAUGCCCUGGGCAACACACAUCCUACAAUGGCGAAAAACAACGAGAUGCAAGCUCGCGAGUGCAAGCCAAUCUCUGAAAUUUCGCCUCAGUUCAGAUUGCAGUCUGCAACUCGACUGCAUGAAGCCGGAAUUGGUAGUAAUCGCAGAUCAGCAUGGCUGCGGUGAAUACGUUCUCGGGUCUUGUACACACCGCCCGUCAAGUCAACAAAGUUGGAAGUAGCUGAAACUUGGGUUUCCCAAACUAAGCUAAGCCCAGCGAUGGGGACUAAGUCGUUGGCCUAUAAUAAUA
Molecule: ribosomal RNA, 1852 nt
Filed under: Candidatus Gottesmanbacteria bacterium GW2011_GWB1_43_11
Lineage: Bacteria; Candidatus Gottesmaniibacteriota
Also listed under: 1 other name
Description: bacterial SSU rRNA
Rfam family: Bacterial small subunit ribosomal RNA
Source: RNAcentral